This 253-nucleotide ribosomal RNA is filed under the name uncultured bacterium. RNAcentral's name for it is "partial 16S ribosomal RNA". It matches the Rfam family "Bacterial small subunit ribosomal RNA", at positions 524 to 776 of the family's 1533-position model. The record is from RNAcentral.
GACGUAGGGCGCGAGCGUUGUCCGGAUUUAUUGGGCGUAAAGAGCUCGUAGGCGGCUUGUCGCGUCGGUCGUGAAAACCUGCAGCUCAACUGCAGGCUUGCGGUCGAUACGGGCAGGCUAGAGUUCGGUAGGGGAGACUGGAAUUCCUGUUGUAGCGGUGAAAUGCGCAGAUAUCAGGAGGAACACCGGUGGCGAAGGCGGGUCUCUGGGCCGAUACUGACGCUGAGGAGCGAAAGCGUGGGGAGCGAACAGG